AAACCAACAGGGAUUGCCUCAGUAACGGCGAGUGAAGCGGCAAAAGCUCAAAUUUGGAAUCGCUUCGGCGAGUUGUAAUUUGAAGAACUGAAUCCGGGGGCAGCCUGUGCCUAAGUUCCUUGGAACAGGACGUCGCAGAGGGUGAGAAUCCCGUGCGGUGUGGGUGCGUCUCCGUGUGGAUUUUGUUCGACGAGUCGAGUUGUUUGGGAAUGCAGCUCUAAGUGGGUGGUAAAUUCCAUCUAAAGCUAAAUAUUGGCGAGAGACCGAUAGCGAACAAGUACAGUGAUGGAAAGAUGAAAAGCACUUUGAAAAGAGAGUGAAACAGUACGUGAAAUUGUUGAAAGGGAAGGGCUUGACCUCAGACUCGGGUGCCUUUCGGGGUGCUCGGGCCAGCAUCGGUUUCUGUGGCGGGAGAAUGGCGCGGGAAUGUGGCUCUGCUUCGGGAGAGUGUUAUAGCCCGUGCUGAUGCCGCCUGCGGAGACCGAGGACUGCGCAUUUUGCACGGAUGCUGGCGUAAUGAUGUUAAGCCGC
RNAcentral lists this ribosomal RNA (531 nucleotides) under Danielozyma litseae. RNAcentral's name for it is "eukaryotic LSU rRNA". It matches the Rfam family "Eukaryotic large subunit ribosomal RNA", at positions 62 to 648 of the family's 3401-position model. Lineage: Eukaryota; Fungi; Ascomycota; Pichiomycetes; Serinales; Debaryomycetaceae. The record is from RNAcentral.